GUGUCCCCAGGGCAGGGUCAGUGUGUCCCCAGGGGUCAGUGUGUCCCCAGGGCUGGGUCAGUGUGUCCCCAGGGCAGGGUCAGUGUGUCCCCAGGGGUCAGUGUGUCCCCAGGGCUGGGUCAGUGUGUCCCCAGGGGUCAGUGUGUCCCCAGGGUCAGUGUGUCCCCAGGGCAGGGUCAGUGUGUCCCCAGGGCAGGGUCAGUGUGUCCCCAGGGGUCAGUGUGUCCCCAGGGCUGGGUCAGUGUGUCCCCAGGGGUGGGUCAGUGUGUCCCCAGGGUCAGUGUGUCCCCAGGGGUCAGUGUGUCCCCAGGGCAGGGUCAGUGUGUCCCCAGGGCUGGGUCAGUGUGUCCCCAGGGUCCCCUGGGACCUGGAACCUGUCCCCAGUGUUCCCUGUCCCUACAGUUCUUGUCCCCCCUGUCACCUGGGCCUCAGUGUCCCCUGUCCCCAGGGACCCUGUCCCCAGUGUCCCAUCUCUCCAGCGUCACCUGAGCCUCGGUGUCCCCUGUCCCCAAUGUCCCCUGUCCCCAGGGACCCUGUCCCCAAUAUCCCAUCUCUCCAGUGUCACCUGAGCCUUGGUGUCACCUGGACCCCACAGUUCCUGUCCCCGGUGUCCCCAAACUCCAUGUCCCCUGUCCCCAUAGUCCGGGUGCCCAGUGUCCCCAUCCCCAGUGUCCCCAUCCCCAGUGUCCCCUGUCCCCAG
Myiozetetes cayanensis is the source of this 700-nucleotide long non-coding RNA. RefSeq lists it as uncharacterized. Lineage: Eukaryota; Metazoa; Chordata; Aves; Passeriformes; Tyrannidae. The record is from RefSeq and is a predicted model, not a curated record. The transcript has 3 exons.